This 887-nucleotide non-coding RNA is filed under the name Pan troglodytes (chimpanzee). Lineage: Eukaryota; Metazoa; Chordata; Mammalia; Primates; Hominidae. The record is from RNAcentral.
AAAUCCCAGAACUUUGGGAGGCCGAGGUGGGCAGAUCACCUGAGGUCAGGAGUUCCAGACCAGCCUGGCCAACAUGGUGAAAUCCCGUCUCUACUAAAAUUACAAAAAUUAGCCAGGCAUGAUGGCAGAUGCCUGGUAAUCCCAGCUACUCAGGAGGCUGAGGCAGGAGAACAGCUUGAACCCAGGUGGCAGAGGUUGCAGUGAGCUGAGAUCAUGCCACUGCACUCCAGCCUGGGCGACAAGAGCGAGACUCCGUCUCAAAAAAAAAAAAAGAACAGAAAUAAUCAAACCACAGCAUCAAUUCAUUCAUUCAUUCCACUAACAUUUAUUAAGCAGCAAGCUCCGAAGCAGACGUUUACCAGUUUUGCACAACUUUGUCAUGGACCAGCUGGCCUUGUGGCUCAGUGGCAUCUGGAGGCAAGAGGGCCAAGUAGACAGGGGUCUCAGCCCCCUCCUCCACAGUCCUGAUGCUGUCUUUCCCAUCCAUGUCUGUCUUCACUGGUCCUGGGCAGCACGCAUUCACCAGAAUCCUGUCAGCUUUCCUCUUCUCAUCCAGAUGCCUGGCCAGGAUCCUCGAUAAGACCGUGACCCCCAACUUGGACACCCCAUAAGGAAAACUAGACAAUCCACCAGCCCAGGAGGGGACAAGCAGGAUUAAUCCUCCUCCUCGUCAUCUCUGGCUCCAGCCCCACCCUGGCCCUUGCUGGCAUUCUUCCUCUUCACGUGGCUGGGUUUGGCCACCCCAAUAGGGAAGCAGAGGGAGAAGUCGAUGUGCUUCUGGGAAUCCAGGCGGAUAGUGAAGAACAGGAUAUUUACCACCUGCUCACGGACACGGAUAUGACACUGUUGGAUCAGCACAUGAGCGUGGCAGAUGGACUUAGCCAAGC